Ochotona princeps (American pika) is the source of this 154-nucleotide long non-coding RNA. RefSeq lists it as uncharacterized. The record is from RefSeq and is a predicted model, not a curated record. NCBI's taxonomy places the organism in Eukaryota, Metazoa, Chordata, Mammalia, Lagomorpha, Ochotonidae. The transcript has 3 exons.
GCUGCAAGAGAGGAGGCCACUUCCAACCUGAGGUGUAGCCCUGCAGCCUGCUACAUGCUUCCCAGGCUGGAGAACACGAACACACCUUCAGUGUUGGUGUUAUUUGAAGAUGUGGCUGUGGACUUUUCCCAGGAAGAAUGGCAGACAAUGGACA